CUUCGUUUAAAGUGGCGUUCAUAUCUAUUGCUUAAUGCAAACAAAUUCAAAUUUUGGGAUUACCAAGUAGAAUUUUUCUUCUACAAUAUUCAUUAUUGUGUUUUUUUCUAUUUGAUAGCAAUAUGGACGACAUAUAUGAAUCUGAGAUAUCACUUGAUGUCAUGUAUCAGAAUGGAACAAAAACUGAUGAAAUAAAUGAAGAAAGAAAGGGGAUUUAUUAUCAACAGAAUAGGCCAUUAGACAGAGAAAUACAACCAGAUCAGACAGUUACAUAUAUUUGUACUCAACAGUUCAGAAAUAUAUCGGAAUGUGAUGAACUAAAGGAAGAAAUAAUUACCAGAAAUAAAUUCUCCCAACAAAAUCCUUCUGAUAGCAGAAGUCUUGCCCCCAAAGAAGAAAUAAGUUAUAACAUAGCAUUCGCAAAACCCGGAGAGUUUGUGUUAAAUGAAAGGAAGCUGAUAUCAACAGGUGAAGGGAAAAGUGGGGUCACGAAGAAAAGAUAUUUUUAUCAACAAAGUGAACCAAGAAGUAGACUUUUGAGUGCACAGGAGGAGAUUAUGCUACACCUCCCACUUGCACAACCUUUAAGCCUUGAAAUUGGACCAGUGUUAGAUGAGCCUUUUGCCCGUCGGAGGCCAGAUCAAAAGGAAUUAAUAAACUGCAAUAUUCCAAGGGUACCUUGUAUACUUAUAGAAAACAUGGCAGUAGAAUACAUUGGUCAUUUUGAACUGACCUCACCAAAGGAUAAUCAACUGGAAGAAUAUCGACCAGUCAUUUUAUUAAGUAGCAAAAAAAACGGCACUACCUUUGACAAGCUUGCAAAUAUAGCCCCUUCUAAACCAUCAGAGAAGAAAUCCAAGCCAGUUUCAAAACUGGCUAAACUGGCUAAACUCUACAGAUGCUGUGCUAAAGAUAAGAAGACUGCAGCAUGACAACAAAUGACCAGAAUGAGGUCAGUAGAUCUUUAAUAGAUGUAGAAAGGAUAAGAGAUAAUGGUAGUAUUUCACUGAUGAAAUGACUUUCCAAAUUCUUUUUUUUUUUUCUGAUUUGCUUUGAACAAAUUCCUAAUCAUCCAUUAUCAGAUACUACAUAAUAUAGGAACCAAAACCUACCGAAAGGGACAAUCCCAUUAAAUCCCAAAAUAUUUACUACAGUAGAUGUCUUUCUUCAAUUAUUGCAAAUUUCAGAAAGAGAAGUGCCAAUACGAAAACAAAAAGAAGUCUAUAGUGUUGAAUUAUUUCGGGUGUUUAUAUUUUCAGCAAUUAUAAAAAAAA
Octopus sinensis (East Asian common octopus) is the source of this 1274-nucleotide RNA transcript. RefSeq lists it as uncharacterized. NCBI's taxonomy places the organism in Eukaryota, Metazoa, Mollusca, Cephalopoda, Octopoda, Octopodidae. The record is from RefSeq and is a predicted model, not a curated record. The transcript is spliced from 3 exons.